GACGAACGCUGGCUGCGUGCUUAACACAUGCAAGUCGAACGCUGAAGCCUGGUGCUUGCACCGGGUGGAUGAGUGGCGAACGGGUGAGUAACACGUGAGUAACCUGCCCCUGACUUCGGGAUAAGCCCGGGAAACUGGGUCUAAUACCGGAUACGACUGCCGGACGCAUGUCUGGUGGUGGAAAGUUUUUUCGGUUGGGGAUGGGCUCGCGGCCUAUCAGUUUGUUGGUGAGGUAAUGGCUCACCAAGACGACGACGGGUAGCCGGCCUGAGAGGGCGACCGGCCACACUGGGACUGAGACACGGCCCAGACUCCUACGGGAGGCAGCAGUGGGGAAUAUUGCACAAUGGGGGAAACCCUGAUGCAGCGACGCAGCGUGCGGGAUGACGGCCUUCGGGUUGUAAACCGCUUUCAGCAGGGAAGAAGCGCAAG
Molecule: ribosomal RNA, 432 nt
Filed under: Brevibacterium casei
Lineage: Bacteria; Bacillati; Actinomycetota; Actinomycetes; Micrococcales; Brevibacteriaceae
Description: bacterial SSU rRNA
Rfam family: Bacterial small subunit ribosomal RNA
Source: RNAcentral